GAUGAACGCUAGCGGCAGGCCUAACACAUGCAAGUCGAGCGGUAGAGGUCCUUUCGGGAUCUUGAGAGCGGCGCACGGGUGCGUAACGCGUAUGCAACCUACCCUCUACAGGGGAAUAGCCCGUCGAAAGGCGGAUUAAUGCCCCAUGGCUCCUUUGAGAGGCAUCUCUUAAGGGAUAAAGAUUCAUCGGUAGAGGAUGGGCAUGCGUGCCAUUAGCUUGAUGGUGGGGUAACGGCCCACCAUGGCUACGAUGGCUAGGGGUUCUGAGAGGAAGGCCCCCCACACUGGGACUGAGACACGGCCCAGACUCCUACGGGAGGCAGCAGUGAGGAAUAUUGGUCAAUGGGCGGAAGCCUGAACCAGCCAUGCCGCGUGCGGGAAGAAGGCGCUACGCGUCGUAAACCGCUUUUGUCCGGGGGUAACCGCGGGGACGUGUCCCCGCCUGCAAGUACCGGACGAAUAAGGGUCGGCUAACUCCGUGCCAGCAGCCGCGGUAAUACGGAGGACCCGAGCGUUAUCCGGAUUCAUUGGGUUUAAAGGGUGCGUAGGCGGCCCGGUCAGUCAGCGGUGAAAGGCUCCUGCUCCACAGGAGAGCUGCCGUUGAUACUGCUGGGCUAGAAUCUUAGCGAGGCGGGCGGAAUGCGCGGUGUAGCGGUGAAAUGCAUAGAUAUCGCGCAGAACGCCGAUUGGGGAGCCAGCUCGCCAGCUGAGUAUUGACGCUGAGGCACGAAAGCGUGGGGGUCAAACAGGAUUAGAUACCCUGGUAGUCCACGCCGUAAACGAUGAUAGCUCGCUCUUGGCCCGCAAGGGUCAGGGGCUUAGCGAAAGCGUUAAGCUAUCC
This 841-nucleotide ribosomal RNA is filed under the name uncultured bacterium. Its description in RNAcentral is "bacterial SSU rRNA". It matches the Rfam family "Bacterial small subunit ribosomal RNA", at positions 28 to 870 of the family's 1533-position model. The record is from RNAcentral.